RNA transcript from Nycticebus coucang (slow loris), 856 nucleotides. It is a transcript of the gene named eukaryotic translation elongation factor 1 epsilon-1-like, with no coding region annotated. The transcript has 2 exons. The record is from RefSeq and is a predicted model, not a curated record. NCBI's taxonomy places the organism in Eukaryota, Metazoa, Chordata, Mammalia, Primates, Lorisidae.
AUGAGUUUGAAUAAAACUUGGACAACAGUCCCUGGCCAGAGCUACGGCCGGAAGGUGGCGGCGGCCGCGGAGUUAACGCUGCUGGAAAAAUCCCUGGGGCUGAGCAAAGGGAAUAAAUAUAGUGCUCAGGGUGAGUGACAGAUUCCAGUUCUUCAAACAAACAAUGGUCCAAGUCUAACAGGCUUGACGACGAUAGCAGCUCAUCUAGUCAAGCAGGCCAACAAAGAACACUUGCUGGGGGGCGGCGCCUAAGAAAAGGCAAUCGUCCAGCAGUGGUUAGAGUACAGGGUCACGCAAGUAGACGGACACUCCAGUAAAGAUGAUAUCCGCACUCUGUUGAAGGAACUUAAUUCCUAUCUUGAAGAUAAAGUCUACCUUACAGGAUAUAACUUCACCUUAGCAGAUAUCCUAUUGUACUAUGGACUUCAUCGCUUUAUAGUUGACCUGACAGUUCAAGAAAAGGAGAAAUAUCUUAAUGUAUCUCGCUGGUUUUGUCACAUUCAGCAUUACCCAGGCAUCAGGCAACAUCUGUCUAAUGUUGUCUUCGUCAAGAACAGACUAUAUACUAAUUCCCACUAGAAGCUACCUAUGCUGUACAGAAGAACAAUUAAUGCUUUAAAUGGAAAAUGUAUUCUGGACCACAGGACUAACAUAAAUUGAUACACAGUCAUUCUCUGUUGAAGUUGAGAGAAUUCAGAAAGUAUAAACUUGUGUCUGAGUGUUUUAUUCUUUAGUUGAAGUUUUAUAAUUUUUAAUGUAAAAAUUAAACUACUAUUAUAAAAAAACAAGUUGAGAUCAAGUUGUAAAUUAAUCUUGUUUUUAUAGGUGAAACUUAUUUUAAUAAACAUUGUAAAUC